Molecule: unclassified non-coding RNA, 373 nt
Filed under: uncultured Basidiomycota
Lineage: Eukaryota; Fungi; Basidiomycota
Description: sequence contains ITS2
Source: RNAcentral
AACUUUCAGCAAUGGAUCACUGUUAGAAUCGCAUGGAUAGGCACUCUCGUACUUACUACGAUUGCCAGGAGAAGGGAGAUAAGCAUGUACCAAGAUACGAACGGCACGGCGUUAGUGCCUCCGCUAGAGAACGGUGACCGCCUCUCUCGCGCUGAGUUCGAGCGCCGUUAUGACGCCAUGCCGCACCUGAAGAAGGCGGAAUUGAUCGAGGGAGUCGUUUAUAUGGGGUCACCCGUUCGUCACGAACAUCACGGAAAACCUCAUAACGAUCUGGGGACUUACCUGGGGAUCUACCGACAAUUUACGCCUGGGACGAAUAGCGGCGAAGGCUCUUCUGUUCGCAUGGACUUAAGCAUAUCAAUAAGCGGAGGCU